AAUAUUUGUCAAUGGGCGGGAGCCUGAACCAGCCAUGCCGCGUGCGGGACGAAGGCCCUAUGGGUCGUAAACCACUUUUACACGGGAACAACCGCAGCGACGAGUAGCUGCCUGCGGGUACCGUGGGAAUAAGGAUCGGCUAACUCAGUACCAACAGCCGCGGUAAUACGGAGGAUCCGAGCGUUAUCCGGAAUUAUUGGGUUUAAAGGGGGCGUAGGCGGCACUUUAAGUCAGGAGUGAAAUACAGCGACUCAACCAUUGCAGUGCACUUGAUACUGAAGUGCUUGAAUGUGGCCGAAGGAGGUGGAACGGGACAAGUAGCGGUGAAAUGCAUAGAUAUGUCCCAGAACCCCGAUUGCGAAGGCAGCUUCCUAGACCGUUAUUGACGCUGAUGCACGAAAGCGUGGGGAUCGAACA
RNAcentral lists this ribosomal RNA (417 nucleotides) under uncultured bacterium. Its description in RNAcentral is "partial 16S ribosomal RNA". It matches the Rfam family "Bacterial small subunit ribosomal RNA", at positions 360 to 774 of the family's 1533-position model. The record is from RNAcentral.